UGCAAGGGGUCGCAGUGAAAGGCUCUACCGACUGUUUACCAAAAACACAGGUCUGUGCUAACGCGCAAGCGGACGUAUACGGGCUGACGCCUGCCCAGUGCCGGAAGGUUAAGAGGAGCGGUGCAAGCUGCGAAUUGAAGCCCCGGUGAACGGCGGCCGUAACUAUAACGGUCCUAAGGUAGCGAAAUUCCUUGUCGGGUAAGUUCCGACCCGCACGAAAGGCGUAACGAGUGGAGCGCUGUCUCAACAGGGGACCCGGCGAAAUUGAAGUACGUGUGAAGAUGCGCGUGACCCGCAGCAGGACAAAAAGACCCCGUGGAGCUUUACUGUAGCCUGUCAUUGCGUUAGGACUGCGUUUGUGUAGGAUAGCUGGGAGGGGGAGAAGCUGGGCCGCUAGGCUCGGUGGACUCAACGGUGAAAUACCAGCCUGACGUGGUUUUGACCCUAACCCCUUCGGGGGACAGUGGCAGGUGGGCAGUUUGACUGGGGC
RNAcentral lists this ribosomal RNA (490 nucleotides) under uncultured bacterium. Its description in RNAcentral is "bacterial LSU rRNA". It matches the Rfam family "Bacterial large subunit ribosomal RNA", at positions 1768 to 2280 of the family's 2925-position model. The record is from RNAcentral.